Molecule: small nuclear RNA, 104 nt
Organism: Marmota flaviventris (yellow-bellied marmot)
Lineage: Eukaryota; Metazoa; Chordata; Mammalia; Rodentia; Sciuridae
Source: RefSeq, a predicted model, not a curated record
GUGCUUCCAUAGUACAUAUGAUAAAACUGAAAUAAUAUGAAGAUGAUUAGCAUGGCCUCUGUGCAAAUUUGUAAGUUGUUCCAUAUUGUAAAAAAUAUAUGUAU